This 738-nucleotide ribosomal RNA is filed under the name uncultured Cystobacter sp. Its description in RNAcentral is "bacterial SSU rRNA". It matches the Rfam family "Bacterial small subunit ribosomal RNA", at positions 60 to 780 of the family's 1533-position model. The record is from RNAcentral. Lineage: Bacteria; Pseudomonadati; Myxococcota; Myxococcia; Myxococcales; Archangiaceae.
AGUCGAGCGCGAUGGAGCAAUCCUAGUAGAGCGGCGCACGGGUGCGUAAUACGUGGAUAAUCUGCCUGGGUGUUUGGGAUAACCAGCUCGAAAGACUGGCUAAUACCGAAUAAGCCCCCGGGAGCUUCGGCUCCUGAGGGAAAAGGUGGCCUCUGUAUACAAGCUAUCACAUCCAGAUGAGUCCGCGGCCCAUCAGCUAGUUGGCGGGGUAAUGGCCCACCAAGGCAACGACGGGUAGCUGGUCUGAGAGGACGAUCAGCCACACUGGAACUGAGACACGGUCCAGACUCCUACGGGAGGCAGCAGUGGGGAAUUUUGCGCAAUGGGCGAAAGCCUGACGCAGCAACGCCGCGUGUGUGAUGAAGGUCUUCGGAUUGUAAAGCACUUUCGACCGGGACGAAAACCCCCAGCCCAACACGCUGGGGCUUGACGGUACCGGGAGAAGAAGCACCGGCUAACUCUGUGCCAGCAGCCGCGGUAAUACAGAGGGUGCAAGCGUUGUUCGGAAUUAUUGGGCGUAAAGCGCGUGUAGGCGGCUUUGCAAGUCGGGUGUGAAAGCCCUCAGCUCAACUGAGGAAGUGCGCCCGAAACUGCAGAGCUUGAGUGCCGGAGAGGGUGGCGGAAUUCCCCAAGUAGAGGUGAAAUUCGUAGAUAUGGGGAGGAACACCGGUGGCGAAGGCGGCCACCUGGACGGUAACUGACGCUGAGACGCGAAAGCGUGGGGAGCAAACAGGAUUA